This 449-nucleotide ribosomal RNA is filed under the name uncultured bacterium. RNAcentral's name for it is "partial 16S ribosomal RNA". It matches the Rfam family "Bacterial small subunit ribosomal RNA", at positions 29 to 523 of the family's 1533-position model. The record is from RNAcentral.
AACGGACGCUGGCGGCAGGCCUAACACAUGCAAGUCGAGCGAGACCUUCGGGUCUAGCGGCGGACGGGUGAGUAACGCGUGGGAACGUGCCCUUUGCUACGGAAUAGCCCCGGGAAACUGGGAGUAAUACCGUAUGUGCCCUUCGGGGGAAAGAUUUAUCGGCAAAGGAUCGGCCCGCGUUGGAUUAGGUAGUUGGUGGGGUAAUGGCCUACCAAGCCGACGAUCCAUAGCUGGUUUGAGAGGAUGAUCAGCCACACUGGGACUGAGACACGGCCCAGACUCCUACGGGAGGCAGCAGUGGGGAAUCUUAGACAAUGGGGGAAACCCUGAUCUAGCCAUGCCGCGUGAGCGAUGAAGGCCUUAGGGUUGUAAAGCUCUUUCAGGUGGGAAGAUAAUGACGGUACCACCAGAAGAAGCACCGGCUAACUACGUGCCAGCAGCCGCAGUAA